This 6234-nucleotide long non-coding RNA is filed under the name Homo sapiens (human). RNAcentral describes it as "PREDICTED lncRNA (TCONS_00225827)". Lineage: Eukaryota; Metazoa; Chordata; Mammalia; Primates; Hominidae. The record is from RNAcentral.
CCCCGCCCAGCCCGCGGCCCGCACUCGGCGCGCCUGGCCCCGCCCCCCGCGGGCUUAACCCUCUAGCCGCUGGGCACGCGCGGGCUACCGGGGCGGAGGCGUACGGGGGCGGCGAGCGGGGCUCGGCUCCUCCUCGUCCCGCGCCAGCGCCGCGCCCGGCCGCAUUCUCGGGGCCCGAGGCUCAGCCGCUCGCGGUGGAGAAAGCAGGCCGCGGAGGAGGCGGGCGCCCAGGCCUGCCCGGACAGGAAGUGGGCCCAGCUUUCCCACUCCUCGCUCCGCUCCUUCCUCCGCGGGAAGGGCAGGCCCCGGAGGCAGCGAGCGCCCCGGGGGUGGCCGGGCAGCCGGAUGCUCCCGGGGUUGCGGGCUGUGGCCCCGGGGGCUGAGGGCGGCGCGGGUGCGGCGGAAGCAGGGAAGCCGCGAACCGGCCUUCUGGCUGGCCACAGCGCCCUGCACGGACGAUCAGUGAAUGGAGAUUACUCAAGUAUUUAUCGAGAACUUGCAGUGGGCUAGGCACAGUUCAGGUAGAUCAACAAACCGAAAGACCCUGCCCUAGGGGAGCUUUCGCUCCAAUGCGGGGAGAGGGUGGAUGAUUGCAGUUUUGCCCAGUAAUUUUUGGGACCCUCAUGCCACCAUUAAUUAGCUACACACAUUUCACCGAAAGUCUACCUUACAUAUUAAUCAGAAGAAGUGGAAGAAUAAACACAGAAGAAGCAAAAAAGGAAGGAACUUUCUCACUGAAAGUUUCUAUUUAAUAUUAAGUCUUAAAAGUACUCCUGGAAGGACAAAAGGUGUUCUUAAUAAAUUAUAUUCGCAAAUAUUGGAUUUAAUCCUACCAGUAAUGAAGCAGUCAGUUACUUUCUAGAUGUGCAGAAAUACGUAAUGAACAAAAAAAACUAAUUCCUAUUCCAUUUUUUAUUAGGUCCACAGUUAUUUCACUUCUAAAUAAAUAUGGUUUUUUAAAAGUGGCACGCGGUGGAAUGUAAUUGAGACAGGAUGGAGUUCCUAGAGAAAUUUUACUUCCUCAAUCUGCACUCCACCUUACUUAAAAUACAGUCUUGGGUCUGUAAUUCCCUUAUCUGACUCUCAAGGAAAUGACAAAGUAAUGCCUAGAUUGGACUAAACCUCAUUUAACUUCAAGGCUGACCUUUCUCAAAGUUGAACCUUCGUCUUGUGAGGAACAGAAAGAUCAAGAACUCUGAAGCACCUCGACUUUCCACCUGUGAAGAUGUGUUCAAAUUUGCAACGUGCGGCCACACCUAUGAGGUCACUCCCUCUGGAGGAAACCAGCUGCCACUUUGUGAGGAUACUCAUAGUCCUGUGGAGGCAUAUCCUCCAUAUGGCUGAGACCUCCUGCGAACAACCAUCACUGACUUGCCAGACAUGAGUGUGCCACCUUGGAAGCAGAUUUUCCAGCCCCAGUUAAGCCUUCAGAUGACAUCAGCCCCUGCUAAUCUCUUGACUACAACCUCAUGAGAGACCCUGAGCCAGAACUAGCCAGGAUCUCGCUUUGUCACCCAAGUUGGAGUACAGUGAUACAGUCUUGGCUCACUGCAGCCUUAACCUGCUAGGCUCAAGUGAUUCUCCUGCCUCGGCCUCCCGAGUAGCCGGGACUACAGGACCAGCUUGAAGUGUUUCAGGACACUUCUCUCUGUGUGUGCCUCUUGAUUUUGUUCAGAAGCCCAGUACUAUGGAAUACUCUAUCGCAGUGAUAAUUAACUACUCGAUAUGCAAAACACAGACAAAUCUCACAAACAUAAUGUGGAGCAAAAGAAGCCAGAAACAGAAGAGUACUGUGAAAUCCCAUUUAUGUCAAGCUCAAAACCAGGUACUGGACCUCCAUAGGUGUCCCAGAGGCUCCCAUGGAAGGAUUUGCAAAUCAGGUUCCAAGAGCUUAAAAAGCCAGGCUUAGUAGUGGAGAGGCACCAGAUGAACUCUUGAUAGCCCAGGCAAGAACUGGGCACCAGCAGCAUUACUUGAUGGUGUCAAAGAGGUAGAGGACCAAAUGCCAGGAUGCAGAGGGAGCCAUGGUGCCUGGACACAGAGACUUUGCCACAGCUAUCAAGUUUGCAAAAUGAAAACAAAGGGAGAGAUUAAUGAGACUCCACCUAGAAGCAGCCACUCCUGGACAGGCUGCCCUUCCUAGAUGGCUUCAGAUGGCUGCCAGGGAACAUCUGCCUGGUUAAGAUUUCAAGUGAAGACCUAAUCGAAGCAGCCCUUUGGCAGGCUUUGCACUGGCCGGCCUGACUCUGACAUACGCUCCGAUGCCCACACAUGGUUGUGGCUGGCAGCUCAGACAGACACGACUGUUUUGGCUUCUGUCAUUUCUUUUUCUUCCUCCAGGCGCUCAAGUUCUUGAUCCCAGCUCGCCUGAUUAGGGGUCGUCAUCAGUCCGCGCACCCUGCCUGUACUUCCUGGGGCCCCCUGGUGGAUGAUCAAAGGAUAAAGGGAUAGUUGGAGGCAGGAAAGAGAGAGUUGGGGAUGAUAGUGCAGUGGACUGUGUGGAUCUUUCCCCAUAGGCUUCUAAGAAGUCUUUUGUGAAUAUCUCUCUCGUCCCCCACUGGGUGAAUGAUUUACUAUGACUAAAGGGGCCACACACACAACAGCUCUCACCCUGGAAUGGACUUUGAGAGGGAAGCAAAAGGAAGCAUUGCCUUCUUUCCUGGACUUCCCUUUGGAGCACCCCACAACUCUCAGGGGAUUUAGAAGGUAACACAUUUAGAGCUUUCCCAAAAGAAUGUGCAGCUGUGGCUUGAGCAAAAGGUGUUUACUCCCACGGAGGUGGGAUUUUUAUUGCUAGUUUCAACAUCAAGUAGGUGUGAAAGUUAUAUACAAAUCCUGACAAUCAAUACCACCUGAGAAAGGCGAGAAAGAGGGCUGCAUGGGCCAAUGCUUCACAAACUUAAGGUGCACAGCUUGGAAGCAUUGAAUUGUGGGGGGUGGGGAUCUUGUAAAGUGAAGAUUCUGAAUGAGUAGGUGUGGGGUAUGGCCCACAGUCUGUGUUUCCAACAUGCUUCUGCCACAGGAAGACUGCUCUGGACUAAGAAAUAGUCCUGUGCAUUUCUUAGCACCAACGCUCACCUCCCCCCACCAAAAACAUGAAAUAAAACAAAACAGGGACAUUGCAUUUCCUGGAAGUGUCUUACAUGACACCAAUUAAAACUAUCUUUUUUUCUUGCUCAUAAAUAUAUUCUUUUUCCUUUUUUUUGAGACGGAGUCUCUCUUUUUUGCCCAGGCUGGAGUGCAGUGGUGUGAUCUCAGCUCACUGCAACCUCCGCCUUCCAGGUUCAAGCAAUUCUCCUGCCUCAGCCUCCUGAGUAGCUGGGAUUACAGGAGUGUGCCACCACACUCGGCUAAUUUUUUGUAUUUUUAGUAGAGAUGGGGUUUCACUAUGUUGGCCAGACUGGUCUUGAACUCUUGACCUCAAGUGAUCCACCUGCCUCGGCCUCCCAAAGUGCUAAGAUUAUAGGCGUGAGCCACUGUGUCUAGCCUAGAAAUGUAUUCUUUUUUUUUUUUUUGAGAUGGAGUUUCGCUCUGUCGCCCUGGCUGGAGUGCAGUGGUGCCAUCUCGGCUCACUGCAACCUCUGCCUCCUGGGUUCAAGUGAUUCUCCUGCCUCAGCCUCCCGAGUAGCUGGGACUACAGGCGUGCACCACUACACCCAGCUAAUUUUUGUAUUUUUAGUAGAGAUGGGGUUUCUCCCAGCUAAUUUUUGUAUUUUUAGUAAAGAUGGAGUUUCACCAUGUUGGUUGGCCAGGAUGGUCUCGAUCUCUUGACCUCGUGAUCCACCCGCCUCAGCCUCCCAAAGUGCUGGGAUUACAGACAUGAGCCACCGCGCCCAGCCAAAACUUAUUCUAAAAGGUUUGACUGAUGUACAUAAAAAUCACUGGAAAACAUAGUUAUAGGUAAAUUUUAUUAUUUCUUUGUGUUUUUCUACAUUUCCCAAACUUUCUACAAAUGAACCUAUAUUGUUUUUAUUUUUCUCGAAGGCUAAGUUUGAAACAUCUUGUGUUGUUUCAAGACCUUUCUUUUCCCCCGGUGCUAGCUAGACCAGAAUGGAUUGUUUAACAUCUCAGGGCAGAUGUCUGAACCUUUGCAGGUGUUGGGAGACUCAGAAUCUUCUGGUGUUGAGGAGACCAAGCUUGGUCAGGUCGGGACCAUGUUGAAUCACUGUUUAACACUGAAGGAAGGCCAGGGAAGGCCUGUGAGGGACACGCAGUCUCUGCCUCCUGAGGUCAUGCUGAUCGCUUGCUGGCCCAAGUCUAAUUUAUUUUAGUUUCUAUGUCUGUGAACAAGGCCAAUGUGCAUGAAUGAUGGUCUGGCAUCUCGAUCCAUGUUUACAAAUCAAUGAGCAGACCACCUAAAUCAGUGAACUGUGCAUUUUAUAGAUGAGAAAAGGCAAGUUGGGGGAAAGAGACUGGAGAGGGUGGUGGUAAUUAUAGAAAUGAGACUUUCAUAACUCAAGUUUCCAUCCCAUGGCGUUUUCUUUAAAUAAGGGAUUCCCAAUCUUCAGAAGCACUAGUGCAGUAUAACUUUGGAUAAACACAGUUCUGUCUUAUCAGCACAUUGUUUUGUAUUCAAUAGGUACUCAAUGUUUAAUAUGUUAUAAAAUAUAAUUUUUGAAUACAUUUUUUUUCUGUGAUGGUCGGAGCACACAGCACAGAGCAAUUUUAGGAAAUUGCCAUGCUUUCCAAUAGUAGCUAUAAGCUUUGUGUAUCCAGUCACCCAGGACCUAUUUGUUAGAUAGGAUAAAAGAACAUUGAAGUGACAAGAUUUGACAGAAAAUCUAGGCAAUACCAUUCAGGACAUAGGCAUGGGCAAAGACUUCAUGACUAAAACACCAAAAGCAAUUGCAACAAAAGCAAAAAUUGACAAAUGGGAUCUAAUUAAACUAAAGAGCUUCUGCUCAGCAAAAGAAACUAUCAGAGUAAACAGGGAACCUACAAAAUAGGAGAAAAUAUUUGCAAUCUGACCAAGGUCUAGUACCCAGAAUCUACAAGGAACUUAAACAAAUUUACAGGAAAAAAACAAGCAAGCCCAUCAAAAAGUGGGCGAAGGAUAUGAACAGAUACUUUUCAAAGGAAGAAAUUUAUGCAGCCAACAAAUAUAUAAAGAAAAACUCAUCAUCACUGGUCAUUAGAGAAAUGCAAAUCAAAACAACAAUGAGAUAUCAUCUCGUGCCAGAUAGAAUGGCGAUCAUUAAAAAGUCUGGAAACAAUAGAUGCUGGUGAGGCUGUGGAGAAAUAGGAACACUUUUACACUGUUGGUGGGAGUGUAAAUUAGUUCACCCAUUGUGGAAGACAGCGUGGCAAUUCCUCAAGGAUCUAGGACCAGAAAUACCAUUUGACCCAGCAAUCUCAUUACUGGGUAUAUACCCAAAGGAUUAAAAAUCAUUCUACUAUAAAGACACAUGCACACGUAAUGUUUAUUGCAGCACUAUUUACAAUAGCAAAGACUUGGAACCAACCCAAAUGCCCAUCAAUGAUAGACUGGAUAAAGAAAAUGUGGCACAUACAUACCAUGGAAUACUAUGCAGCCGUAAGAAAGAAUGAGUUCAUGUCCUUUGCAGGGACAUGGAUGAAGCUGGAAACCGUCAUCCUCAGCAAACUAACACAGGAACGGAAAACCAAACACCACGUGUUCUCACUCAUAAGUGAGAGUUGAACAAUGAGAACACAUGGACACAGGGAGGGGAACAUCACACACCGGGGUCUGUUGGGGAGCGGUGGACAAGGGGAGAGAGAGCAUUAGGACAAAUACCUAAUGCAUGCUGGGCUUAAAACCUGGAUUAUGGGUUGAUAGGUGCAGCAAACCACCACGGCACAUGUAUACCUAGGUGACAAAGCUGCACGUUCAGCACAUGUAUCCCAGAACUUAAAGUAAAAUUAAAAAAAAAAAAAAAAGAACAUUGAAGUGACAAGAUUUGGGAGGACUGAAACAAAACAGACUACAAGGAACAGGAGAAAAGGGACAAUUGUAAGAGUGGUAAUAUUCUUUUAUAUUUAUGCACGUAAGAUGGCUGUACUGGUUUCAAGCAUCUGACUUUUAAUAUUUGAAGAAAUAAAAUUCUUGCUUAGGUCCUUCCACCCGCUGUUCAAGAUUGAAGAUUGACCUUCUGUUACCAUCUUAGCUGAUCUGUCUGCUGCUGCCUUUUUGCUUGUCCUACUCAGUUUUAAGUAAUUUUCAUCCUUCAUGCUCUGGGCUGCAAAAAUAAAUAUAAGCAACAUUUGCUGUCUUCA